CAUGUACUCCCUCCGUCCCAUAUUAAGUGCCGAAAUAUUACAUGUAUCUUGACGUAUUUUAGUAUGUAGAUAUGUCCAUUUUUAGAAAAAUCUGAGUCACGUAAUAUGGGACGGAGGGAGUAGUUA
This is a non-coding RNA of Brachypodium distachyon (stiff brome), 126 nucleotides long. NCBI's taxonomy places the organism in Eukaryota, Viridiplantae, Streptophyta, Magnoliopsida, Poales, Poaceae. The record is from Rfam.